Molecule: ribosomal RNA, 253 nt
Filed under: uncultured bacterium
Lineage: Bacteria
Description: partial 16S ribosomal RNA
Rfam family: Bacterial small subunit ribosomal RNA
Source: RNAcentral
UACGUAGGGGGCGAGCGUUGUCCGGAAUCAUUGGGCGUAAAGCGCGUGUAGGCGGCUUGGCAAGUCCGGUGUGAAAGCUCGAGGCUCAACCUCGAGUCUGCAUCGGAAACUGCCUUGCUAGAGUCCGGAAGAGGAGACUGGAAUUCCUGGUGUAGCGGUGAAAUGCGCAGAUAUCAGGAAGAACACCGGUGGCGAAGGCGGGUCUCUGGGACGGUACUGACGCUGAGACGCGAAAGCGUGGGGAGCAAACAGG